AUCCCAGAUAAUAAUAUUUGUGAUUAUUCUGAUUCAUGGGAGGCAAAGAGUAAAUAAUAAUGGGAGUUCGCUGAUAGUGCCUUUGCAUUAUUUACAAGGUGUUCUAAUAGUACGUGACCAUACAUGU
This is a small nucleolar RNA of Mangifera indica (mango), 127 nucleotides long. NCBI's taxonomy places the organism in Eukaryota, Viridiplantae, Streptophyta, Magnoliopsida, Sapindales, Anacardiaceae. The record is from RefSeq and is a predicted model, not a curated record.